This 483-nucleotide long non-coding RNA is filed under the name Aotus nancymaae (Ma's night monkey). RNAcentral describes it as "lncRNA (ENSANAG00000038552.1)". Lineage: Eukaryota; Metazoa; Chordata; Mammalia; Primates; Aotidae. The record is from RNAcentral.
GUGUUUUUGAGGAUGGGGGUGUUUUUUUUCUUAGGAAUUUUCUUGUGGCACACAGAAAAAUCUUUCUAAUAACAAAGAGAAAACUCAUGAAGAUGAAUAGGGAUAAUGAACUCCACUCUUUCUCUUCUAUGCAGGGGAGUGGAACUGCUCGAAUGUGAAUGUCCUGGCAGGAGGGGGCAGCUGUGCUCACAGGGAAAGACUACACUCUGAAAGCAUGGAUCCUGGACAGCCUAUGCUCCCAAGCUUCUGCAGAUGAAGCUGCUGUGACAACAGUGUUAAAGAUGCCCUACAGUGAUCACACCAUCCUUGUCCCUUUUGGUUACUGUGCUGAGAGAGGUACUUGGGAUUAGACUCUUCUUCAUCCCUCAGAAGGUAACCCUGGGGAGGAACUCAGUUGAUCACUCUGAUUUUCCAUGGCUAGUUACACACAUCAGUCUCCAGCCCCACCCUUCACCUGGCUAACUCUUAGCUCUUCCUCUCCUG